Long non-coding RNA from Saccostrea echinata, 581 nucleotides. RefSeq lists it as uncharacterized. NCBI's taxonomy places the organism in Eukaryota, Metazoa, Mollusca, Bivalvia, Ostreida, Ostreidae. The record is from RefSeq and is a predicted model, not a curated record. The transcript has 3 exons.
CAUCAAAAGAUCGUAUUUCUUCAGCAUGUUUGGAUGAUUAACUCGAUUCCUACUUGUGUUACAGUUCAAUAACAUGUUUCUCUGUUAAAUGUGCUCUGUUUGGAUGGAUAAUUCCACUUGAACCGUCAGCGGCGGACUAUAACAGAUCAUAAUCGCAGUUGUUUGGUGCAAGACCAUAGAAUGGUACCCAAUUUUGCUUGCCCUCAUUAGUCAUCACAAUAUAAAGGAUUUUACAUUUAGAAGACAAUCCUGCAAAUUUGCAGCUGUACAAAUUUUCUUCAUCUCAUCUGCUGCUGGAAUAAAUAAUGAAAGAUUUUCAAACCAGUGUCCAAGAGCCCCCUAGAGUCUGGAAUGAUGGUGUUCUUUAUUAAGGAGAUCAGUGUGUGAUGUAUUUGUUUUCUGUGCAUUGAUGACAUUUGUGAAACUGUUCGGUUACUUGAAAUUCAAUUUGAGCAAUGGACAAGCAGGCCAAAUAAUAUGCAUAUAAAACAUACAACUGUAAUAAGACAUUGAUAAACUUCAAUUUAAACUAACUACAUGUACAUGUAUCUUUGAGCUUGGCAUUGAAAUACAUGUAUACU